This is a long non-coding RNA of Dreissena polymorpha, 1501 nucleotides long. RefSeq lists it as uncharacterized. The transcript has 3 exons. Lineage: Eukaryota; Metazoa; Mollusca; Bivalvia; Myida; Dreissenidae. The record is from RefSeq and is a predicted model, not a curated record.
GAACCGAGCUACAAUGGUUAUGUGAAGAGCCAAAUUUUGGAAUUAUUAGAUGAAUGCAAAGACUUCAAGAAAGGAACGGCGAUGGUCUUUCGAAAAAUCUUUACAGAGGAGGAGAUAAGGGGGAGAAGCCUCUCAGGGGGCAUUUCAAAGGACGGAACGAGGCGACCAGCACUAGAAGACCAGAAGAAGAUUAUCUUUUUGGAAGAAGUCAUCAAGGAAAAAUGGCCCUCCACCACAAAGGACACCAUUAAGUUUGUGCUAAGAGACCUGCUUAAGCCAUCCAGAAGUAAAAAAAGUUGAAAUGCUUUCCUUGGAAAUACAGAAAUUAAAUUACACAGUGAAGUUCUCAAUUUUAUUAUCAUUGUGAUGAAAGUAGUCAUAAUCAAUAUGAAAAUAAAGAAAUGUAUUCCAAAAUUUAACAUAUUCUUGAAUUAUUUGAAGUUAAGAAUACAGACAGAAGAAGAAAUUGCCGUUUAAAAAAAAUUGAAACACACGCACAAAAAUGGAUCAACAUCAAUCAAUAUUUUUUUAAGUGAGACUUUAUAUUCAUAUACAGUUUUCAUAUAACAAUGCCCAUACAAUUACUAAACAUCCUUGUCUUAUUUGUUCGCCUUUUCAUUUGAUAUCCCCCGCCAUAGGCGGAGGGAUAUUGUUUUCGCCUUGUCCAUCUCUCCUUCCGUCCGUCUUUCCGUCCGUCUUUCCGUCUGUCCAUCCAGAGCCAUAUCUUGCAAGUGCUUUGGCGGAUUUCAUUGAAACUUGGUAUGGGUAUAUAUAUAUAUAUAUAUAUAUAUAUAUAUAUAUAUAUAUAUAUAUAUAUAUAUAUAUAUAUAUAUAUAUAUGGAUAACAGGAUGAUGCAAGCCAAAUGGUAUUGCACACAUUCUGUUAAUAACGAAGUUAUGGCCCUUUUUAUCUUGAAAAAAUAUGCUUUUUUUUGUGUCAAAUAUAACACUUUUGUGUCCAGAAGCAUAUUUGCAGGGGAUAUCAAUUCAACGAAUUUGCUUGUUCUUUAAUAACUGUAUUGUUACUUGUAAAGUACAAAAACACAGGGUGAAAGAUAUUAUUAUUUUUGUUAUAUUUAUCCAUAACACAAACUGUUAAACAUGUAAUAGAAUAUAUGUUGUGUGUGAUGUGUGUGUGUGCAUGUAAUUGUGUGUGUUUAUGAGCAUAAUUAUGUGAGAAAGGAAGUAUACUUGUUAUAAGAGAAAUGUAAAAUUCUACUUCUAUGUUUUAUAUUGUGCCUUUUAUAUGUUUUUCUUUUCUCACCUGUAUAUGCGUGCAUGUUUAUGGAUGUGUUUUUGAAUGUGUGCAUGAAUGCCUGUGGUUAAGAGAAUUGGUACUUUAUGAAAAUGUUAAACCACUCAUUUUUGAAUAUGUACUGUGACUGCAUGUGUGUGGUUAAUGAUUGAUGCCAGAUCUUGUUCUUGUUUAACUUCUAUAAUGAAACCUUUAGUUACAUUCACAUUUGUUUUUCAAAAUCGAUAAAAUACCUUUAAUCUAUAA